UGCACAGAAUCACUUGAAUACUAGGAAUUGUGAUGACAUUGAAGUGGAAUCGCAGGCACAAUGGACAUGGUGAAAAGCACACAAGGCAAACCCUGCCCAGCUGAUUGUGCUUAGCCUAACAUGCAAAAGAGGCACUUCCCAAGCUUGCCAGUACCCCAGGAGGUAUUAAGGCUUUCUCUGAAACCUAGUCAUAUUGAGGGCAGCCCGGCUCAACUUGGAAAGCUCUGAGGAGUUCUGUGAAAGGUGGUUCAGAUGUAUGUCAGUAGACAGUGCCGAUAAAUGCUCUUCCAGCCUGAUCCUGUUCGAUCUGAUGUACAAACAGAUGCAAAAGAUAGCACUGUCUUUAGUAAAUGACUUGGAAAGUCAUUUUAGUCAUGAAAGAUUCCAAGAUGAAGCAUAUGUCAAGGCACACAAAAAUUUCUGAGCCAGAGACAGAAAAAGCUGUGGGCCACGGGCUCAGGAAGUUGAAUGGAUCUGAAUCUCAUAAAUGAAAUCACAGUAUUUUGGAAGUGAUGAGAGGGGAGAGGUUAAGAAAUUGUGUCCUGUAAUUAUCAUAUCAGCUUCCUGAUGAAUAUGUUACAAAAAAUGUUUCUUUUCUUCAUAUUUCAUCUGAAACCUGUGAGCUUGAAUUUGAAAGGGCUGAUUAUUCUGUUCUCUAUGAAUCAUUUAAGC
RNAcentral lists this long non-coding RNA (672 nucleotides) under Anas platyrhynchos platyrhynchos (common mallard). Its description in RNAcentral is "lncRNA (ENSAPLG00000019258.1)". The record is from RNAcentral. Lineage: Eukaryota; Metazoa; Chordata; Aves; Anseriformes; Anatidae.